Molecule: small RNA, 759 nt
Filed under: Pan troglodytes (chimpanzee)
Lineage: Eukaryota; Metazoa; Chordata; Mammalia; Primates; Hominidae
Description: retained intron
Source: RNAcentral
GUCGAGGGCGGGUUGCCUCGCGCUGACCCUUCCCGCCCUCCUUCUCGUCACACACCAGGUCCCCGCGGAAGCCGCGGUGUCGGCGCCAUGGCGGAGCUGACGGCUCUUGAGAGUCUCAUCGAGAUGGGUUUCCCCAGGGGACGCGCGGAGAAGGCUCUGGCCCUCACAGGGAACCAGGGCAUCGAGGCUGCGAUGGACUGGCUGAUGGAGCACGAAGACGACCCCGAUGUGGACGAGCCUUUAGAGACUCCCCUUGGACAUAUCCUGGGACGGGAGCCCACUUCCUCAGAGCAAGGCGGCCUUGAAGGAUCUGGUUCUGCUGCCGGAGAAGGCAAACCCGUUUUGAGUGAAGAGGAAAGACAGGAACAAACUAAGAGGAUGUUGGAGCUGGUGGCCCAGAAGCAGCGGGAGCGUGAAGAAAGAGAGGAACGGGAGGCAUUGGAACGGGAACGGCAGCGCAGGAGACAAGGGCAAGAGUUGUCAGCAGCACGACAGCGGCUACAGGAAGAUGAGAUGCGCCGGGCUGCUGAGGAGAGGCGGAGGGAAAAGGCCGAGGAGUUAGCAGCCAGACAAAGAGUUAGAGAAAAGAUCGAGAGGGACAAAGCAGAGAGAGCCAAGAAGGUAGGUGACUGAGAAGACGCCACGGGUAAUGGAGUGGGCAGUAUGGUGGCAGUGUGGGCUCUCAGCCACCCCCAGUGGCACCAGAGCCAGGUCCUGUUCCCUCUUCUCCCAGCCAGGAGCCUCCCACCAAGCGGGAGU